GACGAACGCUGGCGGCGCGCUUAAUACAUGCAAGUCGAACGUGAAGCCCGGGCUUGCCCGGGUGGAAAGUGGCGAACGGGUGAGUAACACGUGAGAAACCUGCCUCGGAGACUGGGAUAACCAAUGGAAACGUUGGCUAAUACCGGAUGCCUUCAUCUGGCCGCAUGGCCUAAUGAAGAAAUGGAAUCCGCUCCGAGAUGGUCUCGCGGCCUAUCAGCUUGUUGGUGAGGUAACGGCUCACCAAGGCUUCGACGGGUAGUUGGUCUGAGAGGACGACCAACCACACUGGGACUGAGACACGGCCCAGACUCCUACGGGAGGCAGCAGUAGGGAAUCUUGCUCAAUGGGCGAAAGCCUGAAGCAGCGACGCCGCGUGCGGGAUGAA
This 385-nucleotide ribosomal RNA is filed under the name uncultured bacterium. RNAcentral describes it as "bacterial SSU rRNA". It matches the Rfam family "Bacterial small subunit ribosomal RNA", at positions 28 to 412 of the family's 1533-position model. The record is from RNAcentral.